RNAcentral lists this transfer RNA (81 nucleotides) under Nephila pilipes (giant wood spider). It matches the Rfam family "tRNA". Rfam says of the family: Transfer RNA (tRNA) molecules are approximately 80 nucleotides in length. Their secondary structure includes four short double-helical elements and three loops (D, anti-codon, and T loops). Lineage: Eukaryota; Metazoa; Arthropoda; Arachnida; Araneae; Nephilidae. The record is from Rfam by way of RNAcentral.
GUCAGGAUGCCGAGCGGUCUAGCGCCAGAUUUAAGCUCUGGUUCUCGAAAGAGAGCGUGGGUUCGAACCCCACUCCUGACA